AAGUACCCCGAGGAAAAGAAAUCAACCGAGAUUCCCCCAGUAGCGGCGAGCGAACGGGGAGCAGCCCAGAGUCUGAAUCAGCUUGUGUGUUAGUGGAACGGUCUGGAAAGUCCGACGGUACAGGGUGAUAGUCCCGUACACCAAAAUGCACAGGCUGUGAACUCGAAGAGUAGGGCGGGACACGUGGUAUCCUGUCUGAAUAUGGGGGGACCAUCCUCCAAGGCUAAAUACUCCUGACUGACCGAUAGUGAACCAGUACCGUGAGGGAAAGGCGAAAAGAACCCCGGCGAGGGGAGUGAAAAAGAACCUGAAACCGUGUACGUACAAGCAGUGGGAGCACCUUUAUGGUGUGACUGCGUACCUUUUGUAUAAUGGGUCAGCGACUUAUAUUCUGUAGCAAGGUUAACCGUAUAGGGGAGCCGCAGGGAAACCGAGUCUUAACUGGGCGUUAAGUUGCAGGGUAUAGACCCGAAACCCGGUGAUCUAGCCAUGGGCAGGUU
Molecule: ribosomal RNA, 500 nt
Filed under: Klebsiella quasipneumoniae subsp. similipneumoniae
Lineage: Bacteria; Pseudomonadati; Pseudomonadota; Gammaproteobacteria; Enterobacterales; Enterobacteriaceae
Description: partial 23S ribosomal RNA
Rfam family: Bacterial large subunit ribosomal RNA
Source: RNAcentral